Molecule: non-coding RNA, 67 nt
Organism: Cordylochernes scorpioides
Lineage: Eukaryota; Metazoa; Arthropoda; Arachnida; Pseudoscorpiones; Chernetidae
Source: the annotation of a GenBank genome assembly
UGCCUAGUGGACAUGGCAUCUGCCCGGUAAGCGGAACACUGUGGGUUCGAUUCCCAUCCCUGGACAC